GCAGGCUUUUGAGACACACAUUAGGAGAGGACUCUGCCCGCUGUCUGUCUCACAAUCUGCUCGAAAUAUCUUGGUCAGGAAUCUCAGGAUGUCUAGUGACCCCGAGUGAGGUGCUGCCUUUUAUUCCUGAGCAUCUUUGGAAGCAGGAAGCAGGGAGCAACGGUAGCGAGAGGUAUUCGGAUCUGAGUAUCAGCAGGAAGAAGAAACAGAGGAAGAAGUCCCCCAUAAGGAAGGCGUGAGGAGCGCAGGAAGCGCUGUUUCCCUGCCUGAGAUCUUUAUUCUACUAGGUCUUUAUUCUACGUAGCCGAUACGCUGUAAAAUUCUGGAAGAGAAGGCUAGGGGUUUAAGGUUGGUAAUCUCUCAGAAGAUCUGCGUCUCGGUGACGGAAAGAACUAAGGGGCAUACAGAAUAUAUUUCCUGUCCAAUAAUGACAGAAAUACUUGAUUUUGAAGAGUAACAGUUAUAGCUUGGAAUAGAAGACUGGAGGCAGUUUGAGGGCCGACUUCAGAGUCCUGGUUGAAAUGAAGGUUGAGAAGUAUAAUGCAGUCAGUGCAGG
Molecule: long non-coding RNA, 556 nt
Filed under: Homo sapiens (human)
Lineage: Eukaryota; Metazoa; Chordata; Mammalia; Primates; Hominidae
Description: non-protein coding lnc-PCDHGA1-2:8
Source: RNAcentral